Molecule: ribosomal RNA, 455 nt
Filed under: uncultured bacterium
Lineage: Bacteria
Description: SSU rRNA
Rfam family: Bacterial small subunit ribosomal RNA
Source: RNAcentral
AGGAUGAAUGCUGGCGGCGUGCCUAAUACAUGCAAGUCGAGCGGUAAGGCCCUUCGGGGUACACGAGCGGCGGACGGCUGAGUAACGCGUGGGAACAUGCCCCAAAGUGAGGGAUAAGCAUCGGAAACGGUGUCUAAUACCGCAUAUGGUCUUCGGAUUAAAGGAUUUAUCCGCUUUGGGAGUGGCCCGCGUACGAUUAGGUUGUUGGUGAGGUAAUAGCUCACCAAGCCUACGAUCGUUAACUGGUCUGAGAGGAUGAUCAGUCAGACUGGAACUGAGACACGGUCCAGACUCCUACGGGAGGCAGCAGUAAGGAAUCUUCCACAAUGGGCGAAAGCCUGAUGGAGCAACGCCGCGUGCAGGAUGAAGGCCUUCGGGUCGUAAACUGCUUUUAUGAGUGAAGAAUAUGACGGUAACUCAUGAAUAAGCACCGGCUAACUACGUGCCAGCAGCCG